AUGGAGCAGUGGGCGUACUACCUCUGCCUUCUCUUGGCUCUCCUCCUUCCUCUCCUUCUCUUCAAGCUCAACACGAAACACAGCGGUGGCAAUAGCGGCGUGCGUCUGCCACCCGGUCCGUGGCGGCUUCCGCUCAUCGGCAGUCUUCAUCACCUCGCCGGCAACCAGCUCAUGCACUGUGUCAUGGCCGACCUCGCUCACCAGCUCGACGCGCCUCUCAUGUACCUCAAGCUCGGCAAGGUGCCGGUGAUGGUGGCCACAUCCCCGGAGGCUGCCCGCGAGAUCAUGCGGACGCAUGACGUCGUCUUCGCUACGCGGCUGUUGAGCCCCACGUUGAAGAUUAUGAACUCUGAAGGGCUGGUAUUCGCUCCCUAUGGCGCCUUGUGGCGGCAGCUUCGCAAGAUUUGCAUCUUGGAGCUUCUCAGUGUGCGUCGCGUGCAGUCGUUCCGCCACAUCCGGGAGGAUGAGGUCUGCCGACUCGUGGCCGCCAUCACGGCGGCACCGUCCAUGAAGCUCAUGAACGUGAGUGAGCGAAUUGCCAUCCUCAUCAACGAUUCGGCGGUACGCGCCAUGAUUGGGGAAAGAUUCAUGAGGCAUGAGAAGUUCUUGCAGACACUCGAGGAUGCAUCGUGGCUCGCGAGAUUCAUCAGCGGCACGACACGGCGGGCCGAGGAGUACCACCAGAAGAGCUUCGAGCUCAUGGAGUACGUGAUCAAGCAACACGAGGAGCAGAGGGCAACCACCACCUCAGCGAGCGGUGUCGUGGAGGAAGGAGAGGACCUAGUGGACGCGCUCAUGAGGAUACGCAAGGAAGGUGUCCUCGACGUGCCCCUUACCAUGGGAAUGAUCAAAGCAGUUAUACUUGAACUGUUUGGUGCCGGAAGCGAGACAUCAGCAAUCACUCUUUAA
RNAcentral lists this ribosomal RNA (909 nucleotides) under Triticum aestivum (bread wheat). RNAcentral's name for it is "partial small subunit ribosomal RNA". The record is from RNAcentral. Lineage: Eukaryota; Viridiplantae; Streptophyta; Magnoliopsida; Poales; Poaceae.